CUUUGCUUCACAGAUACGAUGCAGGACACAGCAGGCAGCUAUAGCCAUUGGGAUGUUUUUUUCCACUGAGAUCCACUCUUUCCACUAGAGUGACCAGAU
Non-coding RNA from Chelonoidis abingdonii (Abingdon island giant tortoise), 99 nucleotides. Lineage: Eukaryota; Metazoa; Chordata; Testudines; Testudinidae. The record is from RefSeq and is a predicted model, not a curated record.